This is a non-coding RNA of Arachis ipaensis, 685 nucleotides long. NCBI's taxonomy places the organism in Eukaryota, Viridiplantae, Streptophyta, Magnoliopsida, Fabales, Fabaceae. The record is from RefSeq and is a predicted model, not a curated record.
UCUUUCUUCCAGUAAGGUUGUCACUGCAUGGCUGUUAUAGUUGCCGUCAUCGGCAUUUUUGGUUGCCGCAGUCACUUGAGGUAGCUGUUGGAGCUGCUGCCGGGUCAGUUUGAAGUUGCUGCUGCUUCAUUCUGUUGUUACGAUAUGUUGUUGCUGUGAUCAUUGCGGUUGCUUGGAGAUCAUUGAGGUUGUUGCCGCUGUUGAGAAUCAACGAUAAUAUAUGGUUUAUUGUAUUAAAAUUGCUGCGGACUUAAUUCCUCGAGGUAUGGGAUUAUUUUAAAAUAAAAAUGCUUUAGACUUUGUGAAUACCUUACAAGUUUAGUAGAUUAAUGCAAAUGAAUGAAUGCUUGUGAUGUAAAUAAUUUUCUGUUGUGAUUGAAUAUGUUGUGUUUGAAAGAUAGAUAUUAUUAUGUUUGGUCAUGUUGAUUCUGAAUUUUAGAUUGAAAUUGAUAAUGAUUGAUUUUGUGAAGGACUUGGAAAUGUUGAAUUGAAAUGCUGAUUUUGUUCGUUAAGGUUAAAUUGAGGGAACUUAUGAAGGGUGGUAAACUCCGGUUUUUAGGGGAGGUUUUAACGGAAUUUUUGAAAAAUCGAAGGGUUUUGAAAGUUUUGGUUAUGGUUUUAAAAAUGAGUUUGGUUUGAUUAAUUCAUCAAAAGAAAUAUGGCUUGAGUACUUUUUUAAGAUUUU